UCGUGUCGUGAGAUGUUGGGUUAAGUCCCGCAACGAGCGCAACCCUCACCUCUUGUUGCCAAUAGGUCAUGCUGGGCACUCUAGAGGAACUGCCCCGGUCAACGGGGAGGAAGGCGGGGAUGACGUCAAGUCGUCAUGCCCCUUACGUCCUGGGCUACACACGUGCUACAAUGGCCAGUACAAAGGGAUGCGAGACCGCGAGGUGGAGCUAAUCCCAAAAAGCUGGUCUAAGUUCAGAUUGCAGUCUGCAACUCGACUGCAUGAAGGAGGAAUCGCUAGUAAUCGC
Molecule: ribosomal RNA, 286 nt
Filed under: uncultured Methylomirabilota bacterium
Lineage: Bacteria; Methylomirabilota (SeqCode)
Description: uncultured candidate division NC10 bacterium partial 16S ribosomal RNA
Rfam family: Bacterial small subunit ribosomal RNA
Source: RNAcentral